GACGAACGCUGGCGGCGUGCUUAACACAUGCAAGUCGAACGGUAAGGCCCUUCGGGGUACACGAGUGGCGAACGGGUGAGUAACACGUGGGUGAUCUGCCCUGCACUUCGGGAUAGGCCUGGGAAACUGGGUCUAAUACCGGAUAGGACCACUGCCUGCAUGGGUGGUGGUGGAAAGCUUUUGCGGUGUGGGAUGGGCCCGCGGCCUAUCAGCUUGUGGGUGGGGUGAUGGCCUACCAAGGCGACGACGGGUAGCCGGCCUGAGAGGGUGACCGGCCACACUGGGACUGAGAUACGGCCCAGACUCCUACGGGGGGCAGCAGUGGGGAAUAUUGCACAAUGGGCGCAAGCCUGAUGCAGCGACGCCGCGUGAGGGAUGACGGCCUUCGGGUUGUAAACCUCUUUCAGCACCGACGAAGCGCAAGUGACGGUAGGUGCAGAAGAAGGACCGGCCAACUACGUGCCAGCAGCCGCAGUAA
RNAcentral lists this ribosomal RNA (478 nucleotides) under uncultured bacterium. Its description in RNAcentral is "partial 16S ribosomal RNA". It matches the Rfam family "Bacterial small subunit ribosomal RNA", at positions 28 to 523 of the family's 1533-position model. The record is from RNAcentral.